GCAGUUGCUGAAGCUAUAAAGGAGGCCAUUUGGAUACAUGGGCUGAUUAGAGAUUUGGGGGUUGAUCAGAAGCAGGUGGAGGUACAUUGUGAUAGUCAGAGUGCCAUUUAUUUGGCUAAGUAUCAGGUUCAUCAUGCGAGGACCAAGCACAUAGAUGUGCGUUAUCACUUUGUUCGUGAAGUAGUUGGUGAAGGGGAGAUCAUUCUCCAGAAGAUUCCAACUAAAGACAACCCCGCUGAUAUGUUGACUAAGGUUGUUGGUGUAGCCAAGUUUGUUCACUGUUUGAACUUGGCUCACAUUAUGCCUAUAUAAAGAAGGCGUUGAGCAGUAGGAGUUUUGGAGUAUUUGGCUCGGCAUGAGUUGUUCUCUUGCUAGUGUUUGGGAGUGAUGUUGUGUGUUAAUUGUGUUGGUUGGCUUAUCAUGGCGUUUUUCGGAACUUGGCCAAGGUGGAGAUUGUUGAAUAAUUGGCCAACAUUCUUCCUUGUUUUGGGGAGGAAAACACCUUUCCUUGUUUUGGGGAGGAAUAUAGGGAAAGUGUUUUGUUCUCUUAACACCCGUGGGUGUUGGUUCAAGGGCUGAGUGAGUUGUCUUUAAAGAAAGAAAAAAAAGGAGACCUCAUGUUUUCUGCCGAGAGGAAAAAGGGAGAGAGUGAGAGCUGGAAAAACAGAGGGCAGAGAAGAAGAAGAAAUCUGGAGCAGCAACCCCAUUUCGAAGAGAAGAAGGUGCUCUUCACUUUGGUUAGUAAUCAUCCAUCAAAAUAAUUGUAAUAGCUUUGAGCUUUGUAUAGAGAAGAAAUUAAUCACUAUAUUUUUUCUUCUCUAUUUGUUUCUUUGGUGUGUGAGAGCUUUUGGGUGUAUUGGGGUUAAGGGUUGUGAGAUUGCCAACACUUUGUAAACUCCCAUUUGGUUGAUAGUGGAUUAUUUGGUGAGCUCCUACUGCUCCGAGGACGUACUCCAGUUACACUGACUGUUGAGGAACCUCAUUAAAAUCUUGGUGUCUUUUAUAUUUUGUUCUUGCAUUUUCAUUUGAUAUAUUUCCUGUGGGUUAUCAAGAGUUGGUUCUAAAAGGUUUGGUGCUACCUAGCACAACAAUCAUCACCAUCACCAUCAUCACUACCAUCACCAUCAUCAUUGUCAGCAUCUUUCUUCAUCUUGGCCUCAUAAAAAUCAGACAAACGAAAGCUUCUCUUUAGGAAACUGGGGGCAGCAGCAUCCUUGGAAGCCUUGUACCUGCCGAGAAUGUGAUUGAAUUCAACUGGAUCUUGCGGCCACGUCUCCGACUGAAUUCGACCUGUUUACCGGUACUAGUAGUUGUUGGUGACACUGGACCAUUAUUAGUAUUCUCUUGCAUUAUUUGAAUCUGAACCGUCCAUGAGAAAUCGUAUGGCGUAUAUACCCGUAGUCUUACGAGUAUUUCAGAGAACACGUAUUUCAAAGAAUCUUAACAGAUACAUAAUUUGUCUUCUGGAUGACUAUUCAUUCAUCACACAAAACACAUAUUUCAGAUAACCUUAUCGGAGUAGUUUUAUUUCUCCGAUUACUACGCGUCUCUCGCAUUGCCAUUCACUAAGUAAAGAAAAUCUAGGUUGGAAGCAUUCCAAUUUGGAUUGGCCCAAGCCUUCCACAUUUGGUAGUUCUUAGCCUUUGUGCAAAUGAGCUUCAUAGUGCCAUUUCUGAGGAACUCUGUAGUCUCACAAUUCUCCAAAUUUUGGACCUUGAAGACGAUACCAAGAUGUUUCCAAAAUAUGACAUCCAUGGCCACUACCUUUUCAAGCGAAGGAGAUACCAGUAUCGAAUCUACAUAGAGAAUGCAUUUUUGGGAACCAAAGCUAGAGAAGUGAAAUAUAACAUAGUGCUUGGUUUGAUAAUGAGCUUGGACAUUUCAAGCAACAUGAUAUUUGAAGAAAUUCCUAAAGAGCUGACCAGCCUCAUUUGUUUGCAAUCGAUGAACUUAUCCAAUAAUCUUCACACGGGAAGAAUCCCUUCCAAGAUCAAUGAUAUGGGAUCAUUAGAAUCACUUGAUUACUACGAGAACCAACUUUCUGGUGAAAUAUCUCCAAGCAUCUCGAAUUUGACAUUUCUCCAUUAUUUGAAUUUGUCCUAUAACAAUAUGAUAGCGCAGAUGCCAAAAAGCAUUAAACUUCAAAGCUUUGAUCUGUCCAGUUAUGCUGGCAAUAAACUUUGUGAAGCUCCAUUGGAAGAUCGUUGUAGUACAAAUGAGGCCAUGCCAUCAAUAGGUUCUAACUUCUAUCUAAUGAGAAACACAAAGCAGGUCAUUUACUUGAUGAUGGUGGAUUCUAUCUAAGCUUGGGGCUUGGACUUGCAUUCGGGUUUUCGAUUAUUCUUAGUUUCACUGACUUUAAUGUGCCAUAUAGCAAUGUAUUUUCUCGGUUCCAAUCUUGACGAAAACACGUGUUGCUAAGGCCAUUCAUUCAUUCAUUGUUUCUGUUGCUAGAAAGGCCUCGUAGCCACCAUGACGUUCAACGCAAAGCUAAUAUCUUUAGGUGGUUUUUGUUAAGGCGGUGUUUCGACGAGUAAGUUAAAUGACAUUGAAUCCGACAAGAGGAAAAAGAGAAGCAAAUAAACAAAGGCCUAGCCAAGGCGAUAAAUUAUAUGUGUGCAAUGUUCCCAAGUUUUAUUCAGACAAAAAUUGUGUGCACAAAGCGCAAAAUUUUUUAUGAGAAUAUUUGAGUUUAUCGUCAUUCAUGUCGACAAAUGUCAAGUAAUAUGCUGAGUGAUGUCAAGACCCCAUGCUAAGUGAUGUCAACACGACUCGUCAAAUGUUGUCAAGAUAUUUUUAUAAAACAUUUCGUCAAAUACUUUAGGGUUAAUCUCAGUUUACUACUCUGAAGUUUUGUGGUGUUUCAUACAUCCGUUAAGUUUUCCGUUAGAACUGAGCGUCACGUGUCAAUAUAGACCCACUUCAAUAUUAAAAAAUAAAAAAAGUGCAAAAAUAAAAUAAAAUCCCAACCCGUCUUCUACCUCCCCCAAGCUCACUCCAACCACCAAAACCAGUCUCCCCCAACCCGCACCCUCCCUUCCUUCUUCCCUCAGAUCCAAAACGAAACGUAAACAAUUUGAGACCAUUCUAUUACUUGCUUCCAUUGCACCUUAAAGCAACGCUCCCAAUCAAACGAAAACCAGCAAAAAAGUCUAACUUCCAAAAUAAAAUGCAACCAAGUUCGGAACUUGCGAAAACCACACCAAAAACCCAAUCACGAAAGCUAAAAAACUCCCAUUUUCCAAUCCCACUAUGUAAUUUUUCAGAUCAUCCAAACAAAAACCCAGAAGCAAAAAAUAGAGAAUUGAAGAAAGUAAACUUUUUUCUCUUUACCGAAGUGAGAGUAGGAGUCGAAUUAAUAGUCAGCGCUGGUCUUGCCAUCGGCUUCGACGAAGGAGACCUCUGGCUCGCCAUGGAGUCAUCGACGGCCUUGUUGAGCUCGGGGUCGCACAUGGACUCGUCGGGGUUAGAGCUCUAGGGGACGUCUUUUACGGAGGGAAGAAGGAAGGUUAGAGCUCUCCGGGUCGCACAUGGACUCGUCGGGGUUGGAUCUGAGGGAAGAAGGAAGGGAGGGUGCGGGUUGAGGGAGACUGGUUUUGGUGGUGAAAGAAGGUCAGGGGAGAGGGUGCAGGUUGUAGAGGGAAGAAGGAAGGUUGGGGGAGACUAGUUUUGGUGGUUGGAGUGAGCUUGGGGAGACUGGUUUUGGGGGAGAGGGUGCGGGUUGCAGAGGGAAGAAGGAAGGGAGGGGAUUGGGGGAGGUAGAAUACGGGUGGGGAUUUUAUUUUAUUUUUAAUUUUUUAAUAUUGAAAUGUGCCUAUAUUGACACGUGACGUUCAGUUAUUGUCAUUUAGGUGUCACUUAAUCGGUUAACAGAAGUUCUAACGGAAAACUUAACGGAAGUAUGAAACUGUCCCAAAAUAAGACUUGAGGUAUGAAUCUGGAAUGAAAAAAACUUCAUAUACUAAAUGUUGAAAACCACAAAAUUUCAUGGUAGUAAAUUGAUAUUAACCCAAUACUUUAUGAGCAUAGAAAGAUCCCGACCAGACAUUUGAAGGGCUCCGGACGACCUUCACAUUUGUUUUUCUUUUCAGCAUUUGGAGGGUUCCAGGACCAACCAAGUCUCUACAUGGGUCUGCCAAUGAACAUGUCACACUUCUAACGUAUAUUUCUAUGUCCUUGUCCACUUAACCUUGUCUUCGAGUACUUCGAAAAAUUUAUCCGCAAAGACAAAUGAAUCUGCCGUCAUUGCCACACGAGAAAACAGCAAAACAUGAAAUUGCGGACAACACAACACCAAGUCAAUCUACUUUCUAUCAUAUUUUUUUGGUCAUUUUCUUUGACAUUGUAAAUUUCAAAUAAAAAACAGAGUGGGAGAAACAAGGACCCAAAUUCUUAUUUAUUUAUUUAUUCAUGAAACGACACACAAUAUUUACUUUCAUAUUAUGUCAAAAAAUAUGAAUGUGAUACUAAGCGUUAACUGUCGGUUUACCCCCUGAACUUUUACCUCACUUUCGAUUUCCCUCCUGAACUUUUAUAUUGGAAAAUUAAGGACUCAAACUAUUUUUUUUAGCCAAUUUGCCCCCUACCAUUAGUUUUUCAUAUAUUCCAUCCAUAUUUCCGUUAAGUGAAACCAUGUGCACAACAUGUGAGGGUAGUUAAGUCAUUUCACUCUUAAAAAUGAUUAAAAAACUGAAAAUUAAAAAAAACAAAACUUUCCCUCUAUUUUUUCCCGCUAAUUCCUAUCCUCGAUUUUAUUUUUCCCUCUCAUUCCUAUGCAUGAGAAAUGACAUAUGGUGUUAUUGUCUACCAUUUUUAUUUUCUCUAACAAAUUAAUAAUUUGACAAAUGCUAAUGAUGUUAUUGUCUCCAAAGCAGUGCAUUAAUACAAGAAACCCUAGUCUUUUUUAUGGACAUGUUUCUUAUAUUAAUGUACUGCUUUGGAGACAAUAACACCAUGAGCAUUUGUCAAAUUAUUAAUUUGUUAGAGAAAAUAAAAAUGGUAGUACAUGCUUCAAGAAAAAGAUUAACUUAUCUACUUAUGAAGACAAUAACACCAUAUGUCAUUUCUCAUGCAUAUGAAUGAGAGGGAAAAAUAAAAUUGAGGAUAGGAAUUAGCGGGAAAAAAUAGAGGGAAGUUUUUUAUUAUUAUUUAUUUUCAGUUUUUAAUCAUUUUUAAGAGUGAAAUGACUUAAUUAUCCUCACAUGUUGUGCACAUGGUCUCACUUAACGGAAAUAUGGAUGGAAUAUAUGAAAAACUAACGGUAGGGGGCAAAUUGGCUAAAAAAAUUAGUUUGAGUCUUUAAUUUUCCAAUAGAAAAGUUUAGGGGGGAAAUCGAAAGUGAGGUGAAAGUUCAGGGGGUAAACCGAUAGUUUACCCGUGAUACUAAUAUAUUGAACUAUACAAAAAUCACACUCCUUCGUUAGUGCGAAAAGUUGAAACGCAUUCAUAAGUACAAACUCGUGAGUGGGGUACCAACAUAUUAAACUCACACUAGUAUAGUAUUCAGGGUUUUGGGAUCCCCUUUUUUUUCAAAAAAUGGAGAUUGUUUGUAUGGCCCACACCACAUUGAACUUCAAUGAUUCAAACUGUCUAUUUUUCAAGUUGCACCUCAUAGAUCAUCGUUGCAAAAUAUUAGCCAAAUUAGAAAUAUUUGGGAAUCUAAUUGAGUUCAAAGAAAUUGACGAACACUGUGUUUUAAAAAACAUUGAAACUUCAUCGUGACAAAUUGACAAUUAAAUAGGCAAAUGGUGUAGCAGUUUUGUUACAUGCAUCAAACAUUGUGUUCUAAGAAACAUUAAAAUUAUGCAUCAAACUCAAGACAUCCGAUCUCUAUAUAUAUGCAUAACACUCGCUCAGAAUCUCAAAGUAGAGUACCUUUCUUGCAAGAGCAAGUUGUACUCAUGAACAUUUAUGAACUGGUAUCAUAACAAGUUGUUCCGUAAAUAGACAAUUAGUCAAUAUAUACUUUUGAACUUAAUAACCCACGUCAGAACAAUACAAUAUGUUGAAUACAUGAGCUCCUGGACAAUUUGUCUUACACAACUUAGCUAGCUGGUACCAGAUAAAAUCGAGAAAAGAUGUUUAUAUACUUGUACCAUCCCACACCACAAUUCAUAUUGAACUCCCCCCCCCCCCCCCCCGGCUCUCUCUCAUGAUGCAGCCUCCACGAGGGAGUAUCGUCGUCGCCGCCGCAGUCUUUGCAACUGUCAUCCAAGUGUUUUCCACGGCAAACUCCCUCCAAGAAGCUGAUAAAAUCACAAGGUUGCCAGGUCAACCACAAGUCAGCUUCCAGCAAUAUGCAGGAUAUGUAACUGUGGAUGAAAAGCAAGAGAGAUCUCUUUUUUACUACUUUGUUGAAGCACAAAUUGAUCCUGCUUCCAAGCCUCUUGUUCUUUGGCUCAAUGGAGGUGAGCUUCCAUCGAAAUCCAGUAACGAGUAAUAUAAUCCCUACCGGAAAUAUUUUACGCAUUAGUUUUUGUUAGUCAUACUGUUUCAGCCAACUUAGUGACGCUUGCGUUUGCAACACUUUAUACAUUAUUGAAUGCAUGUUACGUAUUACAAUUAUGAACCAAAUAAUUGAGCUUUGUGACUUUUAAUUGAAGGUCCGGGUUGUUCAUCUAUUGGAGUUAGAGCUUUCAACGAGAACGGACCUUUUCAACCAAGCGGAGACAUUUUACUCAAGAACGAUUUUAGUUGGAAUAGAGGUAGGUAAACCAUUAAAUUAGUCUUUAAGUGAUCACAAUUGUGUCACAUUCGUUGUUAAUUAGAUUCUGCUCCCAAUUAUUCACGUAACAUUGAUACUAAUUAUGAUGGAUUUUCUCUCGUUUAUAUAAUUUUUGCAGAAGCAAAUAUGCUAUACUUGGAGUCACCAGCAGGAGUAGGCAUCUCCUACUCAGCAAACAAUCAUUCUAUGGCUUUGUGAACGACGAUAUCACAGGUUUUCGCUUCAUAUGACUUUCUCAAGCCUCAUUCAACCAACAAAAUAUAACCCGAAAAUAGUAAACACGUACAUUCUGAUCAUGUUCCGAUUCUCUUCUUUUUAGCACGAGAUAAUCUCAAGUUCCUUCAGCGCUGGUUCGACGAAUUCCCCGAGUAUAAAAAUAGGGAUUUGUUUAUCACAGGACAGAGCUAUGCAGGUAACAUCAUUUACUUGUAAAACCAUCAUUUCUAUCACUAACGACCAAUUAGAAAACUCGAAAGGUACAAACUUACGACGCGCUUCUAAAAAAUUCCAUUUUGUCACUGCCAGGCCACUAUGUUCCACAGCUUGCACAACUCAUUAUCCAAUCAAAACUGAAGUUCAAUCUGAAAGCAAUAGCAGUAAACAAACGAGAAUCUAAAAAGUGAAGUAACUUUGGAGUUGAUGUUUUCGACUAAGAUGUCACGCUUGAGCUUUUUUUGCUUGCAGAUUGGCAAUCCUCUUUUCGAAUUCAAUUCUGAUAUCAACGCACCAGCAGAAUACUGGUGGUCACAUGGAUUAAUAUCGGAUGCGACCUUCAAAAAUUUGACUUCAGUCUGCAACUAUUCUGAAAUUAUUAGACAGGCGGUAAUUCGUGGUGGUCCACUUAUCCCUGCUUGUGAUGCAGUAGCGAACCAAGUUGAAAGAGAAGUCCCUAGACAUUUGAUCAACCAAUAUGACGUUACUCUCGAUGUCUGUUUAUCAUCCGUUGAAGCUCAAUCUUUCCAACUGGUAAGCCUUGGUAUUUUCUCCUUUCAUUUCUUUCAAAUUCUCUACGUUAAUAUACAAACUUCCAACUCACUGAUCACAUCUGCAGCGAAAAACAGUGAAGAUAGAUGUCUGUAUCGGAGAUGAAACAGUUACAUACUUAAACCGACCAGAUGUACAGGAGGCGCUUCAUGCCCGAGUCACAAAUUGGACAACUUGCAGCAAGUAAUCAUCUCAUCUCAUUUGAAUCACUGAUGCACGUAAACGUAGUAGGUUCCAAAGAUGAAUCAAAACAUGAAAGAAUUCCGAUUAUAUUCCAAACUAUUCAAAGAUCGAAGAAAUAUUCCUUGUGCAGCAAGUCUUUUCUGUUUACUGUGCUUCUAAAUUUGAUUAUCCUCUUUUACAGCGGAGGUGUAUGACAUGAAAAACCUGGAAAUACCGAUGCUUCCAGUUUUAGGUGACCUUGUCGAGUCUGGAAUUCGGGUUUUAAUUUACAGGUGAUGAGUCUCACCGUUGUACAAAUCAAAACUCUUGCCAUCUCUGAUAAUCUUAGUCUUUUAGAAAUUGUACUUGAAAGUACAUCUUUCAUGUUUCCCACAGUGGAGAUCAAGAUUCUGUUAUUCCACUAACGAGUACACGGACACUGGUGAACGGAUUGGCAAAGGACUUGGGGCUACAAACGAAUGUGCCUUACAGAGUCUGGUUUGAAGAAAAACAUGUCGGUUCGUGAAUAUAUUAACAGUGGAAAAUUCGGACUAUCUACUUGUGGUCUUAGCAGUUUUUAUCCUUUAUAAAUUUGUAACUUUUCAGGUUGCUGGAUGGACACAAGUAUACAGUGACGCUUUAUCUUACGCUACCAUAAGAGGAGCAGGCCAUGAAGCUCCAAUUUCACAGCCAGAGAGAUCAUUACAUCUAUUUACUUCAUUUCUGACAGGAAUGCCAUUGCCAAAAGCCUUAAGUACUAACUGACACAAAUUGCAGAAAUCAAGAAGAAACAAAUCUAUUCAUUUCUUACACGGAAUAAUUGAGUGAACAAAUUGUAAGAAAAUCGGUAUACUCAUGAGAACAAGAAUGUCAGUUUUAAGUAGCACUUUUUCUCUGCAUCAAUAAAGACAUUCGGAGGAAUGACAGGCAACAUCCAAACAAAACGUCUUCCAUAUGUUAAAAAGAGUUUAAUUGACACUCCAACAGAAAUCGAAAUUGUAACUUUAAGGAUGACUCCAGUACAUGGUACCCAACUUUAAUAGCCAACUUAUACAAAGCGCGUUGUAUUUCAAACCAAUAAGAUACAUCGACGUCCUCUCUCUAGACUCUAGUUCUUACUUCUUAUGAUGCAUAAUAACAUAACAUGUUUAAAUUCUUAGAUUGUUCGCUGCUAAAACAGAACCCUUUGCUGGAAAAUUUGUACGUGUCACUUUGCACUGAAGCACACCAUAUAAUUGGUGAGGCAAGAUAUUCGAUCACCAUUGGAGGAUAAGACUCAGGCCUUCGACAAUUUCCUAAUGAAAGUUAUGCAGAUUAUGUUUAUUUUCCCCUUUCGAGAACCCUUUAGGUUUAUUUUCCUGUGUUCCUAGCAAGACUUUAAUUUGUAGUGAAAUAAGAGGGGGAGGAGUGCAAGAUAAAUUUAUCAAGAACGAAAGCAUAGCCAAAGUAACCGACUUCCAACAAUGAAUUAAUUAAAUUAAAAUUACAAAGCAAUUUGCUAAUCUCUAAACAAAACAAUAGCAAGGCGAAUAUUGUUCAUAGCCAAACGGUAUAUCAAGAGUUAAACCAAUCAAACCAAAAAUUAGUAGAAGACUAGAAGUUCGAUAACCAAGGAUUCGAGAUGGUGUCCUUGGUUAAAUCUUCUUCUGUAAUUCUGAGUUCAAAAUCCACGCACUUGGCAGCAUUGGACAUUUCACAGGCAAUGGAGGCUUCAAUUCCAUGACUGAAGUAGUAGUAAUAAUUGGAUUCUUCGAUUCCAUGACUGAAGUUGUAGUACUAGUAGUAGUAGAAUUCACCGGAUUCUUAUUAAAACCACCCCAUUGGGCCGAUUCAUGAGUAACUUUUUGGCCUAAUGCGUCGUGAAUAAAUGGAUUUACAAGGUCCUGAGAGGGGGGCAACUGCACAUCAAAAUAUGCAGGGCUCAAGCAUCGCGGUGUUUUGCUUGAGCUUGAGUGAGUUCGGGAUAAAUUUUGAUUUUGUUUCACAGCAUAAUAUCUUUCCAUGGAAUCAAUCUCCAGUGUUGAUGCCUGUAUCUUGGCUUCGAGUGAAGCAAUGAGUUUAAUCAAUUCAUCUUCUGAAAAUAGGUCAAUUCGAGCAUCCCAUGUUGGGUACUUAUUCUCGGAAAUGUGCUUAUUGCCCGGUUUUUGAAGCUUGGGAUCGACAUGAUCAUCAUCAUCACCAUCACCAUCACCAUCACCACCAUCACCACCAUCACCACCAUCACCACCAUCACCGUCAUCACCGUCAUCACCUUUCUUCAUCUUGGCCUCAUAAAAAUCAGACAAACUGAAGCUUCUCUUUAGGAAACCGGGGGCAGCAGCAUCCUUGGAAGUCUUGUACCUGCCGAGAAUGCGAUUGAAUUCAACUGGAUCUUGCGGCCACGUCUCCGGCUGAACUGGCCUAAUCCCCUUCCUUUGGUCAGCUUCGUAGACAAUCAAGGCCACAUCAAUGUCACAAAGUUUGGAGAGCUCGUCCGCCUUCUUGUAAACGCUCUUCUUUCGCUUCCGAAAUGCCAUCUUUCGAGCAGUCUCGUUGGGAAUGAGUUCCAAGCUUCUUCUCGUAGGAGCCACCAUCUUCUUCUUCUGUGAAAUUAAUCUCAUGAAUUCUCAAUUCUGAGAGUCGUAAAUUGUAAUAAGAAGUAGGGUUUUGGAUGAGUUUUAUAGGGAGGGAGGGAAGUAGGGCGGCAGAGUUGUAUAUGGAAGCCAAAUUCGAAUAGGAAACAGAAAAAGUAGUUUUCAAAUGUAUCAGGAGACCACGAUUUCUCUAAUUAUUACUUGCUUUACACGUCACAUUCUAAUUAAUUAGGGUUUCCGUCUUAUAUCGUAUUUAGGGUUUCUGUCCUAUAUCGUCUUUGGGUUUCCUUCCUAUAUCGUAUUUAGGGUUUCCUUCCUAUAUCGUAACCCUAACCUAAUCGCCGGCCUAGUAAUAAUAGUUUCCCUUUUACACAAGGAAUAUGAUAACGGCAGUGUUUUUUUUUUUUUUCCAUUUUUUAAUCUUGGUGCGUUUUGGGAGAUUAAUGUACAUGAAACGGUCGCCGCUACGUGGCAUUCUAAAUUUAUAAUAUAAUGUCAUGUUAAAAACUUAAACAAAUAUUUUAUUAUUAGAUCAAAACAUCACGAUGAUAGUAAUAAAUCCAUUUGAGGUAAUUUUUUUUUUUUCUAGGUUUCGAAGACAUCUAUUUGUGUACUUAAUUAUCUUUUAAGUAGGAUAUCUUUUCUUUCUUUAUAAAUUAGGGAUAUAAUAAAAUAACUAUUAAAAAUUAGGGAAAUUUGAAUUUUUUGAUUGGAAAAAAAAAGAAGUUAAAGUUUAAAAAUUUUGAAAUCUCAAAACUCAUUCCAGUUUCACAUCUUUUAAGUUAUUUAAGUUUGGAACGAAAAUUUUUAAUGGUUGAGUUACUACAAUCUAGUGGUAGGUUUGAUUCUCACUAAAGGAAAAUUUGAAGCACAUUAUUGCUAAUCUAUUGUGAGGCUUAGUUCAACUUCACCCCUUAGUGUAGAUUUCAAAACAAAAAAAAAAAAAAAAACAACUUUUAUCUUGACUCUCAUUUUAUCUCUUAUAGUUAUCGUUAAAUCAAUCAAAAUUUCCAUUAAAUACGAUGAUGUGGCAGUUGAUAACCCUUCCUUAUAUAAAGAUUAACCUUUCCUCUUCUUUUUCUUUGAAAUAUUUUUGUUCACCACCCUAUUGAUCACAAAUUUCAAAAUUUAAACUCAUUCAAUGGUAAUAAGUAGUCCCACUUGAGGAGUUAAAAUCUUCCGGCCCAUUUUAUUAUGUGUGACCUUUAUCAUAGAUUGACAAGUAUUAAGUUCAUGAGUAACAUAAUUAAAAAGAGUUAAGUUUAUCGACACAUGUCAACCAGUCACAAGGCCACAUAAAAGCCACAAACAAAAUAGGUGCAUAAGAUUUGAACUCCCAUUUUAGGAUGGUGAGCAAAAAUGCACCAUUUUUUAUUUGAAUUACUAUUGAACUCGUCAUUUAUGAGAUUCAAAUCUAGAUUCUCUCAUUUAGAAUUGAAGAAGAAUACUAAUAAACUGUAAUACUUAUAAGCAAUUUUUUUCCUAUUUCAUUUGGUAAAAAGUUCAAAGAAUCCAUGAGUCUAAAAAUCGCGAACUGUUGUAGUCAUAUUUAGAAUAAGAAUGUAAUUGUGUAAAUCCUAAGAGAUAUGGGAAAAUAUCUUAUAUUUCUAUUAGGAUUAGAUUACCUAUUAAAUGCUGUAAUCCUAAAGCGAAAGUUUUUUUAUCUAUCAUAAUACUAUAAAUAAAGGUACAAUGCGGUGAAUCAAACACACCUCACAAUUAAAUCAAUAUAUCUUCUCUCUAAUUGUGGCCGGCCCCCUCUCUCUCUCUAAACCCUAGAUUGCUCAAUCAAAUAGGCCUACAACAUGAACAACGUACAUGAAACGAAUACAAGAACAACUUAUAUAGAAUGAGUUUAACAUCAUUGGCAUCUCUUGUUUAAUAAUACAUUUUAUUGUGUUAUUAUUUACACCGCUCUAGCCGACUGAAAAUCCCACAUUCCUUAGAGCACUCCAACCCCGAAAAAUCCCUUAGGGAAUGGUCCCCCCUCCAAAAAAAAAAAAAAAAAGCCUCAGGCCCCAAGGCCGACGUCAGCUACAAUUAAAAAAUUAAUGAAAAUAAUAAAAGUUAAUUAAAAAUACAAAAAAAUAAUAAAAAUUUAAUUAAAAAUACAAAAGGUUAUAAUUUUUUUUAUGAAUACCUAAUCAUGUUCUUCUACCUUACAUCACAUUUCAAUAUUUUCAAAUACAUUCAACCAGUUUUUCGUUAUUAUUCGAAAUUAAAAAAAGAUUAUCUUUGAUUAUUUUAUAAAAUAAUAAUAAUAUUUUAAUACUAAUUUAAGUUUACAUUUGGAGUUUUCUACCAAAGGCAAGGAAAGUGUUGGUGAAAAGUGAACUCCCUUUUUACGUAUCUAGGUACUUGACAUUCUAAGAAAGUUGUUUUGUGCAUUAACUAGAUCUCUCAUGUCACUUAAUACUAGACUUUAGUGAUAUAUUUUUUUCAAUUGUAAAAUUUCGAUUCAAUUAUUGCUUAAGAUAAAUUUGAAUUAUUUUUAUUAAUUUAUUGUGAGGCGAAACUAAACUUCAUGAAAUUUAGAAUAUCGUCUCGUGUAGGUUAGCGGGGUUUGUAGGGGUGGAACUUAAAAGAAAGAAGCACGCGGAUGCGGAGGAUGAGGAAGAGAGAGAUCCAUGGCAUACUAAAUAGUCACACACAACUGGAAGAGAGAGAGGGAGAGAAUCCUAGAGAGAGAGAGGGACCAUAGGAAAAAUGGGGAAGGGUCCCUUCUCUUUCAAGCGCAGCAGCAGCAGCGUACGACGCCGCCCCAAGAAGCUCAUUGGCACUCCACCUUCCCCUUUUCCCUCUCCGCCGCAGCCGAUUCGGUCUCCCCCGCCCUCCAACAGUGUCAAUGUUAACAGUACCAAUACGAAUAAUACUAGUCUCAGCGCGGUUGUUGCUGGCGGCGCCGGCGGUGGAGUGAAGGGGAAGAAGAAGGCUGGAGGAGCCAGGCUUUGGAUGCGGUUUGACCGCUUCGGCGUAUCAGAGCUCGUUGAGUGUGAUAAGAACGCUAUCAUUCGACGCGCUGCCAUUCCCGCCCGGGACUUGAGGAUUCUCGGCCCUGUCUUCUCCCAAUCCUCCAGCAUCCUUGGUACUCCUUCUCCUCCCCUUUUCUUAUUUUAUUUUGUCAAUUGUCUUACUUUAUAUGUUAAUUCUCUUCUGGGUUUUGCAAAUUUUACUAGGUUAUGCGCCUACAUUAGGGUUAGGGUUAGUUUUAUCAUGUCGAUUUGUUCUAGGAAAAAGUUAGUUCAAGGAGAUUGGGAUUCUGGGCUUGGAAUUGCAAUUUGUAAUAAUUGUUUUUGUUUUGUCUUUGCCCUGUUUUUGUUUGCCUCUUGAAUCAGUGCCAUUGCCUUGGGGGUGGAGUUUCAGAUUAGGGUGUAGCUAGGAAAGUUUUGCAAAGGUAACAAUCGCCAACCUGCGCAUUACAAGAUUAAGGCUUGCAUUUGAUUCCUUUGGGGGAGUUUGUAAAAAAAAUUUACUUUAGUUGGAACUUGGAAAUUACUUUUCAAAUUUUGGGGUGUGUGAAAUUUUUGUAUAAAUUUCAACUCAAGUGAGUAAAUAUGCAACUUAACCUUGCAUUUGAAAUUUUGAAGUGACGGCUUAGAACCUUUGGAUUCUUGACCUGCACACCAUGAUCUUGGCCAAAAACUUGGCUCUCAGCACAUGUUGCUUCAGUAUAUAUUUUUACGUUGUUGCUCUAGACUUGGUUGUUGGUGAUUUAUUGGUAUAGAAUAUUUUGUAGUAUUAUUGGUUUUAAUACGAGUUGAAACUUAUAUCAGUAUAAGAAAACUCCCUGAAAUAUCCCCUUUGCUCACCUCUAAGUUUUUGGACUUGACCAGAGGUGGAAAAUUGGGGGGCGGGUUAGGGCAGGUUAUAUGGUGGGCAAUAAAUGCAGCACAAGAAACUUUCCGGUCUCAAUUGUUUAGUUCACUCGUUCUCCUUGGAACAAUGCCUUUAUGAGUUAUACUACUAUGAAUACAACUUUUAGUUGCUAGUGUUUUAAUUGUAACCUGUGUAGCCAUAGUAGACCAUGAUAAAUAUGUUUUCCUCAUUUCAAUUGCAGCCAGGGAGAAGGCCAUGGUGGUUAAUUUAGAGUUUAUAAAGGCUAUAGUUACAGCCGAAGAGGUUUUGUUGCUUGAUCCUCUUCGGCAGGAGGUUCUUCCAUUUGCAGAUCAGCUAAGGCAACAACUUCCUCAGAAAAGCCAAUCCAGGAUACAAGAAGCAAGUCCACUUGAUGAACAAGAUAAUGGAAUGGAUGCUUCAACUAUAAGGCAAUGGUUACCUGUUCCCGAGGCUGUUGAAGGAUUGCAGUGUGAUCUCCCAUUUGAGUUUCAGGUUCUGGAGGUUGCAUUAGAAGUUGUCUGUAUAUACUUGGAUUCUAGUGUGGCAGAACUUGAGAGAGAAGCCUACCCUGUGUUAGAUGAACUGGCUAGAAAUGUUAGCACCAAAAACCUUGAACUUGUGAGGAGUUUGAAAAGCAAUCUUACCCGUUUGCUUGCACGUGUCCAGAAGGUAUGUUUGCUUAAUCCUACCUCAUGACUCAUGAGUCAUUGUUCUCUAUAUUUGUUCAGAUGAGUUGCUAUGCUGUUCGUUCAGAUGAUUUGCUAUGCUGUAUCUAAUUUCAAUCCUUUCCGGCAUCAAUAACCUGACCCUGCUUGGAGUUAAAGUGUUUCUCGAGUCAUAAUUUUUGUGAGUUUUCAGUUUGUUUUGAAGAAAUAGGUUUCUGGAGCACUGGAACCUUAAAUAAUAUAAAACUAUCAAAUAUUAAUAUAAAGCAGCAAAUCCCAGGUUGACAUAAAUAAACCCUAAUUAAGUGUCACCACACAAUCUGCUUCAAGAAUGUUUCAUGAAUUAGGAAUUGAUACAUACAUGGUGAUGCGCUUGUAAUAUGCCAUUCAAUUGUCACCAUUAGCUGAUAGAUGUACAUUUCUCAUUGCAGCUUGAUAGAAUCCUUUUAUUCUUAGAUAUUGGAGAGGAAUUGAAUUUGUGUCAAACAUGUGAUUGAGGGUUUGACUGUUUCCAGAUUAUGCAGGACUACAAAGAGAAGUGGAUACUCUUUACUAUUUGACAAGUUGAUAUGAAACGUUUUUGUAAAACGGGUUUGGACUUAGGAUACCUUUUUAUUUGUAUGCUAUUUUCUUUUUGAGUAACAAGCGUGUGUCUGUCUGAUUUCAGGUGAGGGAUGAAAUUGAACAUUUGUUGGAUGACAAUGAAGAUAUGGCACAAUUAUAUUUAACAAGGAAAUGGAUGCAGAAUCAACAGCCUGAGGCUUUGUUGGGGCGUUCUGCAUCAAAUAGAAUCUCUGCACCCCAUCUUCGUCGGCUUGGUUCUAACAGAAGUGGGAGUUUGGUAACCAGUAACAAUAUGGACUACGAUGAUGUAGAAGAUCUAGAGAUGCUGCUUGAGGCAUAUUUUAUGCAGCUGGAUGGAACCCGUAACAAGAUAUUAUCUGUAAGUGCCAAUUGUUGUGACCUACUAUAACUUUAUACCCAACAACUUGACUUCUAAGUUCAAUUUACGUACAUGCUUUAAAGUAUCUCUUCCUGGAGAAUUCAACCUUUUACAAAACAAUCUUUAAAUAUCAGUUGUCACCAUUAGCUUGUGUUUUAAUGCAGUUGCAUCAACUUUGAUGGAGUUCCAGAUAACUAAUUUUAGGUUAGAUUUCUUAAAUGUUGCAUAUUUUCUACUGAGUUCUGUGGUUGCACUUGCUCCUGAGCUCUUGUGGAUUCCCAGUUGUAACUAAUUUCACUAUCAUCGGUAUAUGAGGAUUGUCAUUUAGAAACCAGUUAGCCGUGCAUGUUAAGCAUAAUUGGUUAUUGUGUUAAUCUGUCCUUGAAUAUUGCUCAUGUUCUUGUCGUGUUCAUUGGAUGUAGGUGCGGGAGUAUAUUGAUGACACGGAGGAUUAUGUCAACAUACAACUUGACAACCAACGAAACGAACUCAUUCAGCUCCAGUUGACAUUGACCAUUGCAUCAUUUGCGGUAGCGGUGGAGACCUUGAUAUCUGGGAUAUUUGGUAUGAACAUCCCCUGUAUCUUAUACGACAAGGAUGGGAUAUUUGAGGCCUUUGUUGGGGGUAUUACAGCAUUUUCCGUGUUACUCUUCUUUCUCGUCUUCGGGUAUGCGAGGUGGAAAAAGCUGCUUGGUACAUGAGUCGAGCCUGUCAUCCGUCGUAGAUAGUACUGGAUUCACAAACUUAUUUACGAACCCUAAAGCAACGUCUUUGUAAAUAAGCUUGUGGUUUCAUGUUGUAUGAGCACAAGGAGUUUGUUAGGGAUUUCAUGGCUUGGUAUGCUGCCAGAUUCGUUUCGAAUUACAUGGCAUGUAGUUUAGUAUAGUGUUGCAUAUGAUAAACUGAUGAAUGAAUUUUCUUGGGUCAAAAUUAACAAGCGUUUUUGUUAAUUUGAAGAAAAUACAUGGAAUACUUAGAGCUAAUGGAAAACUUGACUCAAAAUCGAGCUCAUUGGCAUUUUAGGAUGUAUACGGCAGACUCUACUUAAUAAGUUCAAGCUCUUUGUUGUUGUAUAAUUAACUAGUAUUUUUGUUAACGGUUUGAAUAAAUUGUUGGUAAGAUUUAAGAACAAAAAGCUUGUAGCUCUUUGUUCUUGGUAAAGAGCAUUUUCACUUCCGGCCAAUGUUCCGAGUUCAAUCUUUCCUUGCUCAAUGUCGUUUGUAUGUGUGAUCAUAUGGGGACUCAUAAAUAAGGGACACCCUGUGGGCCCAAAAUAUUAUGAAUUUUGAUGAUUUGACUGUUUAGGGCUAGUUUGGAAAUGGUUUUAAAACAUUUGAAAUGUUUUUUUAAGAAAAAUGUUUUUUUAGAGGCCAAUCCUUAAUUAAAAUGCAAGUAAAUUUAGAAAAAUCAUUUAAAGUGUCACAUCCCGACCCGGGCUCCACCACAUCCCGGGCUCAACUCCACCGUAACACGAUAUUGUUCGCUUUGGGCCCCAACCACGUCGUCAUGGUUUUGUUUCUGGGAACUCAGACGAGAACUUCCCAGUAGGUCACUCAUCAUAGGAUUGUUCUUGCACAAAUUCGCUUAACUUCGGAAUUUGGAGCUCCCAAAAGCCCUCGUGCUAGGUAGAAAUGAGAAUAUAUAUAUAUAAGGCUUACAAGAUCCACUCACCUAGGCGAUGUGGGAUAUUACAAUCCACCCCCCUUAGGGGCCCAAUUUCCUUUUCGGCACACUUCCGACCAGGGAUUGACUCUGAUACCAAAUUGUCACAUCCCGGCCCGGGCCCCCACCACAUCCCGACUCGACUCCGCCGUAGCACGAUAUUGUCUACUUUGGGCCGCGACCACGCCCUUACGGUUUUGUUUCUGGGAACUCAGACGAGAACUUCCUAGUGAGUCACCCAUCAUGGGAUUGCUCUCGUGCAAACCCGCUUAACUUCAGAGUUCCGAUGAAACCCGAAGUCAAUGAGCUCCCAAAAGGCCUCGUGCUAGGUAGAGAUGAUAAUAUACAUAUAAAGCUUACAUGAUCCACUCUCCUGAGCGAUAUAGGAUGUUACAUAAAGUGUUGCCCGCAAAGAGCACGUAAUUGGUGCUUCUUGUAUGAAGCAUUUCAAGUGUUUUUGAAACCCAAAAUAUUUUUCUCAAAAACAGUUUCAAUUAUUUUAAAAACACUUCUACAUAUGGGUUUAGUAUUUGGUUAAGCUGCAGCGGCCAAAAUUGGUUGAAUUAUGCGGACAUGUUUGAUAUAUAUUGUAAUUGUACUGAAUUUGUUGUCUUGUUGUAGAUAUUGAUGAGGAAUUGGCCAUCCCCCCUCAUGCUCCUUUUAUGUGCCAACUCCUCCUCUCACUCUUUCUAUUUGUCGAUAUCUAUUAAUUAAUAAAUGUCGUUGUAAUAAGAAAUUAAAACCAAAGGAAAUGCUUGUAUGCAAUAAAGUUGCAAAACUCCACAAAGAAAAGUAAGGGCUCGUGAUUAUAAAAUGAUUGAAAUUUUUUUUGGUGAAAUUUUUUUUAGAAUUAAUUUUUAAUAAAAUUAUAAGUGGAUUCUAAAAGAGUAGUUGAAGUGCUUCUUGCAGUGCAAGAAUCAUUUCAAGUGUUUUUAAAACCCAAAAUUAUUUUAUUUAAAAGAGCAUUCAAACAUUUGAGAAGCACCUUUGAACAAGCCCUUAAAAUAGCCCUACUAUUAACAUUCUAAUGGGGUAGGAUUAUUGUUGGUUUGGGAAUUAGGGUUUAUAAUAAUCUAUUGAUUGAAAAGAAUAUUAUCAUUUCAAUUCUUUUCACAAAAGAAAAAAAAAAGUCAAACUCGUGAUGAAUUUGAGUUCUCUUAUUAUUUUGACAUGCUCAAACUUGUAAUCCAAAUGGUCUAAUUAUAAAUUUAAUUGGCGAUUUGGUAACUAUUUCGUUUUUAUUUUUAUUUUUUAUUUUUUAUUUUUUAUUUUUUAUUUUUUAUUUUUUAUUUUUUAAAAACUAAAAUGAUUAUUAAAAUGCUCUAAGAGCUCCCCAUUUUGUUCAAAAUUUUAGCGAAAUACGGUGUAAACUCUAAAUUUCUAAUGAAGUAAAUAUUGCUUUACCAGUAAAUUAUAAACCAACAUGAAUAAAAAUAUAUGAAUAUUUCAUAUAUUUUUACAUUCAUUAUGUGAUUUAUAAUUUUGACCGUUUACAAAUGCAUUGGACUUCUUUGCUAAAGUUGGUUUUUGGUAGCAAAUGGAAAGAUGUUUAUUUGAUUGGUUUUUGAAUAAUUUAGAUACGAGUGUGUUAAACCCACAACAGAGCGCAUGCAUUUUUGCUAGUUACCUCGAAACAGCACAAAAAAUUCAUAAUUUUUACAUGAAAAUUUAGUCCUAAUCAAUGAUACUGAGCAAUUAGAAGGAGUUUUAGUCUUACUUACGCCUCGAACGACGAGGAACCCGUCCAAAUGUCACGAUCGCCGUCGGAGGUCUCGGUCCGAAGCUUGGCUUUCCGUUUCCACAAACACUGGGGUGAUUGGACUUGCUGGGCUGUGGAAGUGGGGACGGUGGUCUUUGCUGCUCUCGCCGAUGGGAUUGCCACCCAUUAUUCUCGGCUUACCGAGAACGAAAGGGAGAGAGUUGCCUCUCCCGAAAGUUCUUGAAUGUGUUCUCCUCCCAAAAUGAGAGGGAGAGCCCGGGGAAGAAGAAGGGAGGGUGGGUCCCAUGGACCCCAAAACAAUUUAAAAUAAAACAUUGUCCAGCAAACGGACGAAAUUACUAAAAAUACCAUUGCCUUUAAAGUUUCAUAAAACUCAUUUUAAGUCUAAAUUGUUGUAGAAAUGGAUGUCCACUCAAAUAAUGGGCAAGUUGCCCUUCCACUAUUUAGCAUGUGAUUUACUUGUAUAAAAACAAGCCUUAUGAAACACAACAAAGGGAUAGAUAGAUGUGAAGGGUUCACGGGAAAGAAAGAGAGGAAGGAAGGAAGAGGAAGAGAGAGAAAGAAGAGGAAGAGAGAGAAUAGAGGAAGAUGAGAGGAGAUAAUAGAGAGAGUUAUCUUUGUACUCCUAUUAUUCUAAAUUAUAAUGAAAGCACCACUGCUGCCCCGAGGACGUACUCCAGUCACACUGACUGUAGAGGAACCUCGUAAAUUUUGUGUCUUGUUUCAUUUAUUCCACUGCACCCACAGUCGAUUUUACAACACGUUAUCAGCACGAGAAGCUCUCAUGUCGGUGGAAAGCACUACUUACCUCUCACAUCUAUCGGCUGGAAUCUCACAGAUAAGAAAAUCUUUUCAUUUCAUUCUCAUAUCUCUAAAUGACUAAUUUUCUUAAAGUAAAUAUACAUGUGGUUAUAUAAGUAUUGUCAUUAUUAUUGGCAGAAAAUCCGACGAUCAUAUGAGAUUUGAAACUUCAACUUCCAGUGCUCAUACAGAAACCAUUCCUUCAUAAAAGUUGUUCCUUAUCCUCUCUCCCAUAACAUACCAAAAUUCCAGAACCAUCCAACGGUUAAAUCAUUCCAUAUCUUAGAAAUAAUACUACAGACUCAAAAUCCGCAGAAAAUUUGGCAGCCAUGUAAAUAGCCACUGAACUCCAACUUCCUGACAUCCGAUUGAAAUACUUUCUUCUUGAAAGUUGUUUGUCCGCCUAGUACCUAGAACAUAUCCAAAUUUCAGAAAUUGUCAACGGUGCGAUCGUCGUAGAUGACUGAAACUUCAACUCAGCUUCCAUUUCCGCAGAAAACUGGACAGCCAUCUUAUGAGUACCAAACCUUCAUUUUCAGAAGCUCAGCUUGAAACUGUUUCUUCACGAAAGUUGUUUGGUAUCUUCUUAUCCAUAUCAUACUAAAUUUUGAGUUAAAUCUAACGGUUUGAUCUUCUUAUAAGUGGCAGACAAAGAAAAGUGUGAUUAUUUUGGGUAGUUGGAAAGAAAGAAAAAUAUACAUAUAUAAAUUGAAAAAGGGAGCAAAUGGAUGGUGUGUCGGUUGGACUAUUUAAAGAAAACAAAAAGGUUUUGGAAGUGAGUUGCACCAUUCUGAAAAAUAAAUAAAUAAAUAAAUAAAUUGGAAAGGUGGAUUUUUGGUGCAUGAUGUUGUCACAAAAGGAGAAAAGAACAAAUAUUAUUGGAUGGUACACGGCACCAUGUGAAUGAAUAAGAAACGAAAAUAUAUAUUUAUUUAUGUGAAUGGUGUUGGCUUAAAACACUUUCACAAGCUCUAUUUAUUUAAAGCAAUUUAUUUUCAGUGGGUAGCAUUAUUACCCUUUGCUUUAAAGCUUUGAUAUUUAUGUGCAUGGUGUUGGUUUAAAGCCCAUGUCACAAGUUCUAUUUACUUUAAAGCAAUUUAUUUAUCAUGGACGGUUUUACCACCUACUGCUUUAAGUUUUGAUUUAUGUGAAUGGUGCUGAAUUAAAGCCCUUGUCACAAGCUUUAUUUACUUAAAUGCAAUUUAUUUACUAUGGUUGGAAUUACCGCCUAGUACUUUAAUUUAUUUAUUGUACUUAUCUUUUGUUACUAUGAAUAUAUACAGGACCUGAAGUUCCUUGAUCAGAUCAGAACCUGCAGUUUCUUGAUCCUCAUCAUAUAAAAUGAUUGGACCCGAAGUUCCAUCAUACAAAAGGAUCUGGCAUGAAGUCCCUUGAUCCUGAAGAUCAGGACAUGAAGUUCCUAGAUGAGUACCGUAAGUUUGAAGUGCCGCAGUGCCUUAACUUAAUUGUAAUAAAAGCCAUAAGAGUCUUAGUUUACAGACUAUUAAAUAAGGACCAGAAGUUCCUUAUGUCCAUACUCAAAAUGGUUUAGCAGAAGCCUUUAUUAAGCGAAUGAAAUUGAUUUCCCGCGCUCUGCUCAUGAAAACGAAAUUGCCAAUUUUCUACAUGGGGACAUGUAAACUUUACAUGAUGCAUUAUUAAUUCGGUUGAGACAUGUUACCGACCAUCAAUACUUCUCAGUACAACUCGGGUUUGGAACCAACCAAACAUUAUACAUUUACGAGUUUUUGGUUGUGUUGUCUAUGUGCAUGUAAGACUGCCACAACGUACUGAAAUGAGGCAUCAUUGCAGAUUAGGCAUUGAUGUUGAACACCAUCUAUCAUUCAAUAUUUGGAAUUCUUGAUUGGGGAUAUGUUUACCGCAUGGUUUGCGGACUGUCAUUUUGAUAAGACAAUUUUCCUGCCAUUAGGGGGAGAAAAUAAUAUUGUUCCAGAAGAACGAUGAGAAAAUAUCAUUCCAAAAGAAUGAUGAGAAAAGACCGUUCCAGAAGAACGAAGAGAAUUUGUCUUAUUUUGAUUCACGAAGCAAUCAAUAAGAAAAUGAAAUAUGAAUAAUUGAAUGAUGCAACGAAAGUGAUGAAAUCAUAUAUACUUACUGCAAAUGUGCCUACAAGAAUUGAUGUCUCUGUUGGAUAAAAUAAUGAGACAGUAAAUGAUUUAUCUGUUGCACGCCUAAAGCGUGGCAGAUUUUUAGACUCAAAAGGUUCAGUUAUUCGAAAGAAGAAUAAUAUGGCACUACUGAACUAUUGCAUUCCCGAAGCAUAACUGUUGCAUGCCAGAAGCAUGACAGUCGCCGCGUGGAUACACGUCCCAGAUAGGACAAUCCACAGAUAUGAGAAUAUUGAUGUCUCAUGCAUGAAGCAUGAUUGACGUAUAGGUUCUAAAUGACUCAACUCUUGGAAGUGGAGAUUAAAAUCCAAGCUCUAUAACGCUCAAGAAGAGGUUAUGAUCCGCAUUCUCUAAACUAUGACUAUCCUGGAAGAGAUAGUGUAAUGCCCUUGAAGAGGCAAUGGAUAUCCAAAGAAAUGAAAAGCUUUUAUGCAUGCGCAUGCACAUGAGAAUAUGGGAUCACGGAUUGAUGAUAACCAAUGGUAAUUUUGGUUUUUACAAGUACCUACUAAAUUCAUCAAUGAGCUGUGUUAAUAUUGAGUCACGUUCUUUUGUUCGUCGACAAAAGAAAAAUUAUUGGCCAAAAUGGAGAAAGGCAAUUCCAUUACAAAUUUUGUAAGAACGUGGGCAAAUGAACCUAUAUAUAUUUGAAUACAAUACAAAUAGCCAAAGGAUGUUAAACCAAGGAGGUUAUAUAUGGGCAUUUGUAAUAUAGUGUAAUACACUUACAUGAUAUGACACAAGGUUGUAAACGAGUUCAUAUGAAUGGAGAAUUAUAUACGAAGGGUUGUGAGUCGCCCACAUUAUAUCUCCAUAAGUAAAUCCCUCAAGUAUACAUGGGAGCAAAUUGCUCUGUAUAAAUUCCAAAGGAAAAUGUGUCAUGAAGUGUAGAAAACCCUUGAAGGAUUCAAAUUGCUUGAAGUAAGCCUCUGAAGGGUAAAACAUAAAAUAUGUACUCAAUACCAAUUGAUGAUAUAAAUUACCUUAGUGAGUACUAUCAUUAUGAUAUUGUUGCAACAUACUAAAAUCUCUUGCAAGAGUCAAUGACAUUAAAUUAUAACUCUUGAAGAGUCGAUGAUAUUAAAUUGGGACUCCUGAAGAGUCUAGAAAAAAUUAUAAAGUGUUGAAGGAAUUAUUGUCUCGAGCUGCAGAUCGAACAAUCUACCAACACGAAUCUUAUCCAUGAUAUUUAUGAUAUUAAAAGAACCAUAUGGAUUGAAGAUUAUGAGUUGAAUACUCAUAUGAUGAAGACACUAAGAAUAAUCAUUUAUCUUCGUGAGGGUAAAGAUAAAUUAAUAUUUGGUCCAGAAGCACCACAUCUUAGUGAAGUAUAUGCUUUAUUGUAUUUGGCACAAUACAUUGAAUGAAAUAAAGCUUAUUUAUUAAUAUCUCCAAGAAAUUACAGAUAUAUACAUACACAUGAGUUAAAAAACAAACAAACAGGAUGGAGCCUUCACAAAGGUUGCUCAUGUGAAGCCUCAGUACUCGGAAGUACCCCAGAAGGGGGAGGCACUGGAGAUUGAUCAUGUGGCACCCCAGUACUUAGCAAAACACCAGAAGGGGAAGGCAUCAGUUGCUUUCGGAAUCUAGCAACGAACCUCUGGUGAUCACUUUGAAUCCGACUUUCGGAUUCCUGCAGUUGGACGAGCUUUCUUUUCAUGCUCGUAGAGUAACUAUUUGCAAGCACGUGUAACACCCUAUUCUCGUGCUUGAGCCCUCUGAUCUCUUGUUUAAGACUUGCCACCUCCGCCAUCAAUGAUUCAACUUGGCGAGUUUGAGCAAGUAGGCGUUGGCCCAUAUUGGACACAGAGCCAGCACACUGAACACUGAGAGCCAAGGAGUCUUGAACGGCCGACUCUUCAGACCGUUCUGAAAGGAUCUUGUUAUCCCUUGGAGUGAGAAGAUUCCUAGCUACCACAGUAGCGGUUAUGUUAUUCUUCAUCAUAGAGUCCCCAACCGUAAGAGGACCAUUAGAAGAUAAGAAGGACGGGCGCCAUAUAUUAUCUUGACGCUGCUCGUCUGUAUCACUCCUAAGACUCAAAUCUAAGCAAAUGUUAGAUGGGCAAGUCAUUUUUCAGAAAUGAUGAAGGAAAAACAGAGGUCAAAUAAAAUUUCAGAAGUGCAAGAAGGUGGAAAUUUCUCAGGCAGCAACUUUCUGAGCAUACUCUUGAACACAAUUGAUGUCUCUAUAAAAGAAGAGGCAGCAGAGCCACUUGUUCAAAGAUCGAUGAGUCACCGCUCUCCGAAUUUCAAAAGCCAGAUUUUCCUGAAUAAAAUUCGUUGGCAUUUUUCAGACGUAAUCUCAGCUUUUCAGAUAUCGCGUGCAACUUUGUCAAAGAUCUCUGACAAAGUUGAAAACGCGUAAAUCUUACUGUUCUAUUUACACCACAGUUGCUGACAAGAGUAAAAGCACAGCACCACCACUUGCUAUUGAGAAAUCUCUAUAUAUGUCGACCUCUGUUCUCCAUAACAAGGCAGACCCGCAACACUGCAAGAAUACCUAACUCUUCCUCAUCUCCGAGAAUGCAUCUUCAACAUAGUAUUUCGAAAUACUCAGUUUUCUUCCUCUCCGAGAAUACCUCUUCAAACAUGUCACACCAGAGCAAGAUUAUCACAUAUCUUCAGGGACCAGAGCAAGAUUAUCUCAUAUCAUGCAAUCUCCCUGUCAUUUCAUUUGUCCUUGUUCUUGCCUACGAAGACAAGGAUAAAGAAAGCAAUAUGUCGGAACUUCCACUCAAACUCCCGGUAAGGAACCGACUGCCUGGAACCUUUCCUGAUUGCUUACCUAGUGUUGCUCUCGAGUAGUCAUCUUUAACGGUUGGAGCUGGGUCUCCAGUCACCAAGAAGUGAUGAACCAUUCAAAUGCAAGGGUUUGCAUUCCUCUCCUGCAUCAGGGGACAAAUCCUACAAGAGAAGAUGCCACACAUGCAUGGGGGAAAAGCAAGGAAAAUACUACUUAAGCAAGGGGAGCAAGUAAGGAAAGUGAAAAUGAUACAUUGAAGCAUGUGGAGACAAGCGCAACAAACGCGUGCUGAUUCAUCCCUAACAAAACUGAAGAUCACUUGCCACAUGAAGCUCCUCAUGGUCCAAUUUCAUUCAAGAUCAAUCCUCGAAGGUCCUUGAAGAAAUCACAAGUCCGAUUCAAGAUCAAGUGUCCACCACUUUUGAAUCAAAUUCCACUCCAGAUAAAAGGAGUAAAUUCAGAUCUUCGAUACUAGUCUAGCAGAAAGUCCUACAACUCAGUUCAAGAAAAAGCCUGUGGAAAGUUAACAAGUAAAGCACCUCUUUCAGCAACUCUUCUUACUAAGAGACUAAAGCAGAACAAUCAACGAUCAACCUAAAUGAUUUGAAAUCAGGGGGAGAUACUCAUCAGGGGGAGCAUCUAAAACAGAUCAAGAUUUUAACGAGUCAAUCGAAGACUUGUAGCCAUCCAAGGGGGAGUGUUGUAGAAAUGGAUGUCCACUCAAAUAAUGGGCAAGUUGCCCUUCCACUAUUUAGCAUGUGAUUUACUUGUAUAAAAACAAGCCUUAUGAAACAUAACAAAGGGAUAGAUAGAUGUGAAGGGUUCACGGGAAAGAAAGAGAGGAAGGAAGGAAGAGGAAGAGAGAGAAAGAAGAGGAAGAGAGUGAAUAGAGGAAGAUGAGAGGAGAUAAUAGAGAGAGUUAUCUUUGUACUCCUAUUAUUCUAAAUUAUAAUGAAAGCACCACUGCUGCCCCGAGGACGUACUCCAGUCACACUGACUGUAGAGGAACCUCGUAAAUUUUGUGUCUUGUUUCAUUUAUUCCACUGCACCCACAGUCGAUUUUACAACAUAAAUCUUGUUCUGCUUAACCCCAUGCGUAGUGAUGAAUGCAAAUGUCACAUGUGUCCCGACUACUAAGUCAACAGAUGUCUACACUCUACAUACACCAUGAGGGGCAGUUUAGUCAUUUCCCAUCUAGAAGGUUAAAAUACUAUAAUUUAGGCCACAAAAAAAUUGGGUGCAAAAGAUUUGAACUCUCAUUUGAGGGUGGGGAGCAAAAAUGCACUAUUUAUUUAUUUGAAUUAGUUUCUAACUCGCUAUUUAUAAAAUUCGAAUAUAAAUUCUCUCACUUAGAAUUAAAGAAUAAUACUAAUAAACUAUACACUUAGGCACAAUUUUUUUUCUUGUUUUAUUUGGAUCUAAAAAUCGGAUCAGGAUCCUCUCCUGAGCAGAUGGAGAGGAUCCUCCUGACCAAGCCCAUCGGGCCGUUCAUUUUUUAUCCAACGGCUAUAAUUAUUAUAACUUUUAGAGGGGCCUCCUGUUUGUAACUGUUGGAUAAAAAAUGAACAGCCCGAUGGGUCUGGUCAGGAGGAUCCUCUCCAUCUGCUCAGGAGAGGAUCCUGAUCCCUAAAAAUCGUAAACAACUUACAUGACACCAAUAUAAAAACAAUUUAUAUAGAACGAGAACGGCACUCAUCAUGUGACGUCUCUCGUUUAAUAUACAUUUCUGCAACGUUUUAACGUCGCAUGACGAUUAACCUCACCACCAGUACACCGCCCCGUAUAACUUCUUCUUCACCAUUACACCGCCCCCAGCCGGAUGAAAAUCCCGCAUUCCUUAUAAUAUGUCAAGUAGGCGCUGCCUAGGGGAGUCUGAUCGGAGAGACAACUUAAAAGAAAGAAGCAAGCGGCUGGGGAGGAUGAGGAGGAGGAGGAGGAGGCGGAGUCCGAGUAGGAGAAGUGGAAGGGGAAGGGGAAGGGGAAGAGAGCGAUCCAUGGCCAACUGAAUAGUCACACACAACUGGAAGAGAGAGAGGGAGAGAGUCCUGGAGAGAGAGAGGGACCAUAGGAAAAAUGGGGAAGGGUCCCUUCUCUUUCAAGCGCAGCAGCAGCAGCAUACGACGCCGCCCCAAGAAGUUCAUUGGCCCUCCUUCUACUGUUUUUCCCUCUACGCCUCAGCCGAUUCAGUCUCCUUCGCCCUCCAACAAUGUUAAUAUUAGCAAUACCAAUACCAAUAGUCUGAGUGCAGUAGUUGCUGGCGAUGCCGGCGGUGGCGUGAAGGGGAAGAAGAAGGCAGGAGCCAGGCUUUGGAUGCGAUUUGACCGCUUCGGCGUGUCAGAGCUCGUCGAGUGCGAAAAGAACGCUAUCAUUCGACGCACGGCCAUUCCCGCCCGGGACUUGAGGAUUCUCGGCCCUGUCUUCUCCCAUUCAUCCAGCAUCCUUGGUACUCCUACAUAUUUUAUUAAGUUAUGCACCUACAUUAGGGUUAGGGUUUUGCAAUCAUCUUACUUUAUAUGUUAACUCUCUUCUGGGUUUUGCAAAUUUUAUUACUUUAUAUGUUAGUUCACUCGUUCUCCUUUGAACAAUGCCUUUCUAAGUUAUACUACUUAUGAAUACAACUUUAAUGUAUGUUAUCUUAUAGAAAGUAUUCUCUGCAUGAGUUGCUAGUGUUUUAAUUAUAAACUGUGUGUGCCAUAGUAGACCAUGAUAAGUAUGUAUUCCUCAUUUCAAUUGCAGCCAGGGAGAAGGCCAUGGUGGUUAAUUUAGAGUUUAUAAAGGCCAUAGUUACAGCCGAAGAGGUUUUGUUGCUUGAUCCUCUUCGGCAGGAGGUUAUUCCAUUUGCGGAUCAGCUAAGGCAACAGCUUCCUCAGAAAAGCCAAUCCAGGAUACAAGAAGCAAGUCCACUCGGUGAAGAAGAUAAUGGAAUGGAUGUUUCAACCGGAAGGCAACGGUUACCUGUUCCCGAGGCCGUUGAAGGUUUGCAGUGUGAUCUCCCAUUUGAGUUUCAGGUUCUGGAGGUUGCAUUAGAAGUUGUCUGUACAUAUUUGGAUUCUAGUGUGGCAGACCUUGAGAGAGAAGCCUACCCUGUGUUAGAUGAACUGGCCAGAAAUGUUAGCACCAAAAACCUUGAACUCGUGAGGAUUUUGAAAAGCAAUCUUACCCGUUUGCUUGCACGCGUCCAGAAGGU
This 28130-nucleotide long non-coding RNA is filed under the name Malus domestica (apple). RNAcentral describes it as "long non-coding RNA (MDOM_LNC007808)". Lineage: Eukaryota; Viridiplantae; Streptophyta; Magnoliopsida; Rosales; Rosaceae. The record is from RNAcentral.